ACAUGCAAGUCGAACGGUAACAUAAAGUGCUUGCACUUUGAUGACGAGUGGCGCACGGGUGCGUAACGCGUAUACAAUCUACCUUUUACAGGGGGAUAGCCUUUAGAAAUGAAGAAUAAUACCCCAUAGUAUAUAAAUAUCGCAUGAUAAUUAUAUUAAAGAUUUAUUGGUAAAAGAUGAGUAUGCGUUCUAUUAGCUAGAUGGUAAGGUAACGGCUUACCAUGGCAACGAUAGAUAGGGGCCCUGAGAGGGGGAUCCCCCACACUGGUACUGAGACACGGACCAGACUCCUACGGGAGGCAGCAGUGAGGAAUAUUGGACAAUGGGCGGGAGCCUGAUCCAGCCAUGCCGCGUGCAGGAAGACUGCCCUAUGGGUUGUAAACUGCUUUUAUACAGGAAGAAACCUUUUCACGUGUGAAAAGCUGACGGUACUGUAAGAAUAAGGAUCGGCUAACUCCGUGCCAGCAGCCGCGGUAAUACGGAGGAUCCAAGCGUUAUCCGGAAUCAUUGGGUUUAAAGGGUCCGUAGGUGGACAAUUAAGUCAGAGGUGAAAGUUUGCCGCUUAACGGUAAAAUUGCCUUUGAUACUGGUUGUCUUGAAUCAUUAUGAAGUGGUUAGAAUAUGUAGUGUAGCGGUGAAAUGCAUAGAUAUUACAUAGAAUACCAAUUGCGAAGGCAGAUCACUAAUAAUGUAUUGACACUGAUGGACGAAAGCGUGGGGAGCGAACGGGAUUAGAUACCCCGGUAGUCCACGCCGUAAACGAUGGUCACUAGCUGUUCGAACUUCGGUUUGAGUGGCUAAGCGAAAGUGAUAAGUGACCCACCUGGGGAGUACGUUCGCAAGAAUGAAAC
This 851-nucleotide ribosomal RNA is filed under the name Gracilariopsis lemaneiformis. RNAcentral's name for it is "bacterial SSU rRNA". It matches the Rfam family "Bacterial small subunit ribosomal RNA", at positions 53 to 900 of the family's 1533-position model. The record is from RNAcentral. Lineage: Eukaryota; Rhodophyta; Florideophyceae; Gracilariales; Gracilariaceae.